Molecule: ribosomal RNA, 253 nt
Filed under: uncultured prokaryote
Description: partial 16S ribosomal RNA
Rfam family: Bacterial small subunit ribosomal RNA
Source: RNAcentral
ACGUAGGUGGCAAGCGUUGUCCGGAUUUAUUGGGUUUAAAGGGUGCGUAGGCGGCCUGUUAAGUCAGUGCUGAAAUAUCCCGGCUUAACCGGGAGGGUGGCAUUGAUACUGAUGGACUUGAGUAGAGUUGAGGUUGGCGGAAUUGACGGUGUAGCGGUGAAAUGCUUAGAUAUCGUCAAGAACACCUAUUGCGAAGGCAGCUAACUAAGCUCAAACUGACGCUGAGGCACGAAAGUGUGGGGAUCAAACAGGA